This 63-nucleotide transfer RNA is filed under the name Euglesa coreana. RNAcentral describes it as "tRNA-Pro". Lineage: Eukaryota; Metazoa; Mollusca; Bivalvia; Venerida; Sphaeriidae. The record is from RNAcentral.
CAGUUUUGUAGUUUAUAAGAAUUAAAGCUUUGGGAGUUUUAGGUCCUUUUUUAGGUAAACUGA